This is a long non-coding RNA of Hyalella azteca, 2265 nucleotides long. RefSeq lists it as uncharacterized. Lineage: Eukaryota; Metazoa; Arthropoda; Malacostraca; Amphipoda; Hyalellidae. The record is from RefSeq and is a predicted model, not a curated record. The transcript has 2 exons.
ACGCGGGCCGGUCGCCGCGCCCAGCGCCAGAGGAGAUCGCGCUCGAAGACCUCCCCGUCCCGCCGACCGCGGGCGCUCAGGGAAAUCAUCCGUACCUGCGACGGCUGUAGGGAUGCUACGGCUGCUGUGUCAACACAAGACUUGUAUGGAACUCGAAAUAUACAAUGUGUGUUGUAUACAAACAUGAAUCCUGCAUCCAUCGUACGACUGUUCUCCAAACUUUUUAUGUGAUUUCUUAUACCUCAGUUGUUUGUGUGUUAUUUCGUGUUGGUUGACUGCAAUUAUACACUCGAAGCAAUGAGCGAGACUUGUUCCAAAUAAAAAUGCAUUUUUUGCUCUUAUGUGGGUCAUCCUGACCCAGUUUGGCCCGGUGAGAGGUCAGUGCUGCGGCCGCUCAUUGUUCGUGCUGUGAGUAAGAAAGUGUCAUUAUUUGGACAAUAUAAGUUUAUGAACCAUUCAUUUUUCUAAGUGUACGAUGUUCGUUCACAGCUACGCUUCCUCUGCCGCUGGACGCAGUGAACGAAUACGCUUUUAACUAUCUUUGUAAUUAUUUAUUUAUUGCUGACGCAUUUAAUUAAUCAUGACGCAUUAACUUAUGUUCUACGCAUCUGCCAAAGCGUGCCAAAGAUGAAUUCUUGUGCAUCGCACAAAUUGUACAAAUAAGAAGUGAAGUUAAACAGCUUAAAUGUUGCGCCGGUUUGUCCAUAUUUCGGCCUCCAUCGUCAAAAAUAUAUGAAAAAUUAUUGCCAUCAUAUUCUCUUUUCUUGUACCGCAAUCUUAGAAAUGAACUUGUUAAUUUGUUCUAUUUAAAUGCUGAGUGAAUAGCGUUAGCUUUUUUUUUUUUUUUGAGGCAAAGUUAUUAUUUCGUUUUCUAAAAUUGUUUUUCUAAAUGCAUCGUUUUAUGAACUUUCAGUUAGGUUGGCAUUGUCCGAGGCUAUUAGUUUUGUCUGCUUUAUGCUAAUAGUUUGUAAAUAUUUUAUUAUUGAGAUUAUCGACCUACUACAAUAAAUUGUAUCGUAGAUUUUGUGUUAUUAGCAAAUGAACUAAUAUUUCAUAUCUAGUUAUACAUUAUUCUCUAAGUUCUAAUCGUAAUGCUUUCCAUGUUGAUUCUUCUUAUAACUUUUCUACAAUUCUAAGUUUAAGUUAUCGCUAUUCUUAUUUUAUGCAUGUGAGGUUAUUUUCAACUUAACCCAUCUGCAAUUUCGCCAUUCAGCUUUUUUCGUGACAAUUUUCAUGUGAGCUUUAAAGUAUUUCCAUUAAUUCUAAAAAAAUUGUACUCCGCGUUAAACUUUGAGUCAUUUUGCGCUCUUUAGUUUUUCAGCCUCGAAGUCCAAUGACUCCGCAGGAUACAUGCCUUCCUCUUCAAUAGGAUAUUGUGUAAAACCAAUAUCUCGAAACACUUGUUAUGUUGUGGAUGUUCUGUACAUAGGAGCGCAGUGUACUGUAGUACAGUGGUACACGUAUAAUGGUCUUGGGUGCAGCUAAGUUAGGGGGUUCAAUACCCUGACAGUGUUGCAAACUUGCAAAAUUUCUCAUGUCCCUUUGUAAGAGACGUCGAAGGUGGUGCAUCAGCAUGGCCGUGAGCGGUGCCCAAAACAAUUGGGCAAUUUUAGGGUCUUAAGGCUUUAGUAAAGCUUAUAUGAGUUGCAUGGCUUUCCGCCCAUAUAAUUACCUGUCAAAUGUUUUGUAUGGUGUUGUGGUGAGAAAAUGUGAAAAAUAGGAUCUGAAUAUCUGGUGAAUAAUAGGCCAAUAACAUGUAUAAAACGUGUGUAUAUUAAGGCUGGUUCACCAAGGCUGGUUUUAGCUUGGCUGUGACUAGUACCGCUGGCUGCUUAUUUCUGGGACUUUAGCACUAGUGCUUGUAGUCUCGUCAUAGUCACGUCAUCGUAAGCAGGUAGCAAAUCGCUGCAAAUUCUUAAUAUUUGGUCCGCCAAUCAUCCCAUAUUAAUGGUCAAUCAGUAUUAUAUUGUAAUGCUGAUAAUUCCUUGAAUUUUUCAGCGUAUUCUGCCUGCCAGUCCCUUUUUUGUGCAUUAUUCCUAGAUAACGAAUAUUAACAUUAAUUCAGCAAUCACUUUCUAUUUAUGAGCUCAUGUUACCAACAUGUGACGUGAAACUUAAGACCAUCACAACUCGUUAUCUAAUUAAUGGUUAUUGUAAUUGCCUCACUCGUGCAUUCUCCAGGCUCAUGUCUGCUUCUCCUUCCACCAAAUUUAAUGUGGAAUCGCUGUUAAUUUCUUCAUUAUAAAUUAAACUUUUGGAAUCAAA